GCUCCUUGAACACAUUUCCUUUCAUCUCUUGCCUUCUCUAUCUCAGACGCAGUGCCUUCAGAAUAUUGGAAAUACUGACGUGUCUCACUGGAGUAACUAUGGCCUGGUUCCCUACCCAGAAGAGUUUCUUCAUCAUCUGUGUCUUCAACCUGUUUGUUUUCAGCACUGUAGAGACUUACACAUGUAUAGACUGUCUACUUGAUGCAUGUAGUUCUGACCUGAAGACUUGUGAUGAAAGUACUAAUGGCUGCUUCAGCACCAAGCAAGAAUUUAACAUAUCAGGU
Perognathus longimembris pacificus (Pacific pocket mouse) is the source of this 284-nucleotide long non-coding RNA. RefSeq lists it as uncharacterized. The transcript has 3 exons. The record is from RefSeq and is a predicted model, not a curated record. NCBI's taxonomy places the organism in Eukaryota, Metazoa, Chordata, Mammalia, Rodentia, Heteromyidae.